RNAcentral lists this ribosomal RNA (374 nucleotides) under uncultured organism. RNAcentral's name for it is "partial 16S ribosomal RNA". It matches the Rfam family "Bacterial small subunit ribosomal RNA", at positions 527 to 896 of the family's 1533-position model. The record is from RNAcentral.
GUAGGUGGCAAGCGUUGUCCGGAAUUAUUGGGGCGUAAAGCGCGCGCAGGCGGUUCUUUAAGUCUGAUGUGAAAGCCCACGGGCUCAACCGUGGAGGGUCAUUGGAAACUGGAGAACUUGAGUACAGAAGAGGAAAGCGGAAUUCCACGUGUAGCGGUGAAAUGCGUAGAGAUGUGGAGGAACACCAGUGGCGAAGGCGGCUUUCUGGUCUGUAACAGACGCUGAGGCGCGAAAGCGUGGGGAGCAAACAGGAUUAGAUACCCUGGUAGUCCACGCCGUAAACGAUGAGUGCUAAGUGUUAGGGGGUUUCCGCCCCUUAGUGCUGCAGCUAACGCAUUAAGCACUCCGCCUGGGGAGUACGGCCGCAAAGGCUG